Long non-coding RNA from Brienomyrus brachyistius, 1354 nucleotides. RefSeq lists it as uncharacterized. The record is from RefSeq and is a predicted model, not a curated record. The transcript has 3 exons. Lineage: Eukaryota; Metazoa; Chordata; Actinopteri; Osteoglossiformes; Mormyridae.
CUGUCACCUGACCAGUGACAUGUGUGAUGCUGAGGCGCCUGUGUAGGCCUGCUGUCACCUGACCAGUAAUGUGUGUGAUGCUGGGGCGCCUGUGUAGGCCUGCUGUCACCUGACCAGUAACAUGUGUGAUGCUGAGACGCCUGUGUAGGGCUGCUGUCACCUGACCAAUAAUGUGUGUGAUGCUGAGGCACCUGUGUAGGCCUGCUGUGUGGUAGAAAUAUCGCUGAGGUCAAUUUGUUUAACAAAUCUGACAAAACUUUAUUACAGCAAAGCUUUGGGGGAACAGACACUCAGCAGUCUUUCAUGCAUCUCGUGAUCUCCUCCCCAAACAAGUGCAUGCCUCUUUUAUAACAAACAAUCGCAACAGUUUACAGAUAGUUCAGGGAGGGGUCAGAUAUCUGUAGACACCAGUCACUUCUGUUAAACUGGACCCAUUAUCAGGUAAAGGCAGGGCUGAAUUUUUCAUGAUCACUCUUGUGAUUACAUCACCCUGUUCAAAACAAGUUAAUCUGAAUUCCCCUUACGUUCCUUAGUUCUCUUUUCACAUAAUCUUGACCCCUAAAUACACACAUUUCUUAUAAAUGUUUUCUGCAGCAGACUUACUUCUCGGAUCAGGUUUGUACCUUGACCUUUAAUGCAAAACAAGCUACCAUAUCAACAUACAUUAGUUCCUCUUACCUAUAAUAAUGAAAACCUAUUACUUAAGCAAGCUUGCAUUAUAUGUUUAGUAUAUGAAAUGUUUCAAGGCAGAAGUUAAUCAUUACAAUCAUCAUAUUUGAAUCAGCAGUGUUAUCAUAAGUUUUAUUAAUGAUUGCUGAUUGAAUUUAUAUUGGAUUUGCAUAAUCAUGGAUUUUUCUACGUCAGCUGUCACCUGACCAGUAACUUGUGUGAUGCUAAGGUGCUUGUGUAGGCCUGCUGUCACGUGACCAGUAACGUGUGUGACACUGAGGUGCUUGUGUAGGCCUGCUGUCACGUGACCAGUAACGUGUGUGACACUGAGGUGCUUGUGUAGGCCUGUUGUCACGUGACCAGUAACGUGUGUGACACUGAGGUGCUUGUGUAGGCCUGCUGUCACGUGACCAGUAACGUGUGUGACACUGAGGUGCUUGUGUAGGCCUGCUGUCGCUCCCAUCCCUCUCACACACACAUCCAUCACCUACUCACCUGCCUUCUGUACCAGUUAACAUGCUAUAGUAAAUAUGAAAUCCUGUAGAGUUCACUAUUUAGAAAAGCUAGAGGGUUAUUGCAAUAACUACCAAAAACUGGACUUUUCACACCUCAGUUAACAGUGUUAUAAACUCACCAAGACAUACGAUGUGUUCUAUAUUGGAUAACCUUUGACCCUUGACCUGUG